This is a small nuclear RNA of Hyaena hyaena (striped hyena), 185 nucleotides long. RefSeq annotates it as U2 spliceosomal RNA. The record is from RefSeq and is a predicted model, not a curated record. NCBI's taxonomy places the organism in Eukaryota, Metazoa, Chordata, Mammalia, Carnivora, Hyaenidae. The transcript has a single exon.
AUCACUUCUCGGCCUUUUGGCCAAGAUCAAGUGUAGUAUCUGUUCUUAUCAGUUUAAUAUUUUCAAGACAGAGAGAGACAGAGCACAACCAGGGGAGGGGCAGAGAGAGAGGGAAACACAGAAUCUGAAACAGGCUCCAGGCUCCAAGCUGGCAGCACAGAGCCCAACUUGGGGGUCCAACUCAC